AUGGGUUCAUAAUGAUCGGGUCCAGUAUGAACCGCAGCAAUGGAGAAAAGCUGGCAGCUGCGGAGCUGUCAUUGACGAGGAUGCGAGAUAGUGGAGUCAGUGAAUACAUAGUCUCAUUAUUGUCGGUGUUGUUAUUCUCAGUAGAGAAGAAUCCGGCGUGGGUGAGGAGGCGCAUGAGGCGUUGUAGUUGAGGAAAUUUUGCAAUGGGG
This 209-nucleotide unclassified non-coding RNA is filed under the name Hevea brasiliensis (rubber tree). Lineage: Eukaryota; Viridiplantae; Streptophyta; Magnoliopsida; Malpighiales; Euphorbiaceae. The record is from RNAcentral.